UCUUAGGCUGUGUUUGUGAGUUACUUGCUUCUACAGCAUUUCGUACAUUCUAUCCGAUAUGAACGGAUGCAAGAUGUUUAAUUGCGUGAAGUAUAUUGGUAAAGGAUGUGCUGUUCGAUUCAGAAGCACAUGGGCAGACUUCCGUAAAUCUUGUCAUGACUAUGACACAUAUAUAGGAGACCAGUAGGAAGUGAUAUAAUUGCCGGAUUGAGCCAGUUUUACACCGGGAAACAGUUAACGGACCUUCAUAUUCUUGAUGUUGGCUGUGGUACCGGUCUGUACGCAAAGGCUAUGUUGGACCAUGGGGUUGGCAGAAUGUCACUGAUUGAUGCCUCUCAAGAUAUGCUGAACGUAGCAAGCAGUAAACUUGCCACAGAAGUAAAACAAUGGCGCAUCUUGAGUUUAGAACACUUCCAGAUACCACCUUUACCAUACCGUAACGGGAGUUUUGACGUUGUGAUGAUGAACUUUGUUAUCCCCCAUUUAGAUUCUGGAAAUGAUAGAACAUUUCCCAAUGCCACUUGCUUGCUGGAGGAAGCCAACAGAUGUUUGAAAAAGAAUGGCAUAGUGGCAAUUACUACGAUACUUCCCGAAAACACCACAAACUACUGGUACCUGAAUCUGCAUCCUGAACACACCCAGAGGUGUUACCAGGUUUCGUCAUCCGUUUUCUACUGGCAGUAUAGAGGAAUUACUUCGUCACGUAACUUCCAAUGUUGUCAAAUUUUCCGAUGAUAUCAUCGUCGACCUAAAUUGUGCGUUUCAAUGUAUAGCUUGAUCAACAAAAGACUCUUUAAUCAAAAACGUAAACAAACAACUUUAAUUAUUCUCACUUUCCAAUUAACCUCCAACUAUGACAGUUUGUUAUUUUGACAAGCACGGUAAUUAAGCGACAUUCCGCAAACUUUCAUAACAAUGUUCGCACCUACAACUCGAUCUACAGUUCGACAUAAGGGCCAAGGAAAAUGUGUGAAAUUCGACCACUGGGACUGAAAUAGAAGGUCGACAUAGCGAAACAAUCGAGAUAGAAAAAUCGACACAAGCAGAUUUAUUUUAUAUAGAUUAAGAAGGAAUAAAUUCGGGACCGGAGAAAAAAAGUCGACAUAACCGGAAAGUCGAGAUAUCCGACGUCGACAUAGCGAUUUCGGACUGUACAUUGAACUUGACGGUGCUUAGGGGGCAUUCGUCACUUACUGUGAUAGCUCCAGUUCAUCCGCAAGAGAAACUUCAAGCGCAAACGAGCGAAAUAUUUGUAUUUCAAGCGCAAACGAGCGAAAUAUUUGUAUAAAACGUCUAGAAUAAGUAUUAGAAGAAAGUUUAUGUCUGUCAUUAACAAAGAGGAUUGCCGUGGCAAUGGUGAAUAAUGUAUUGGUCACCAUUGCAGGACCUUCAUAUUCUUGAUGUUGGCUGUGGUACCGGUCUGUACGCAAAGGCUAUGUUGGACCGUGGGGUUGGCAGAAUGUCACUGAUUGAUGCCUCUCAAGAUAUGCUGAACGUAGCAAGCAGUAAACUUGCCACAGAAGUAAAACAAGGGCGCAUCUUGAGUUUAGUACACUUCCAGGCACCACCUUUACCAUACCGUAACGGGAGUUUUGACGUUGUGAUGAUGAACUUUGUUAUCCCCCAUUUAGAUUCUGGAAAUGAUAGAACAUUUCCCAAUGCCACUUGCUUGCUGAAGGAAGCCAACAGAUGUUUGAAAAAGAAUGGCAUAGUGGCAAUUACUACGAUACUUCCCGAAAACACCACAAACUACUGGUACCUGAAUCUGCAUCCUGAACACACCCAGAGGUGUUACCAGGUUUCGUCAUCAUUAGAUGAGUUUGAAACAAUGUUUAGCAAAUCUGGUCUGCAGUCUAUCCGGAAAUUAACAUUUCUUGGACCAGGAAUCAUUAGUUAUAAAAAUAUUAUUAAUUCGAAUGCAUAUUUGGAUCAAAGCUGGGUGAACGCUGCUUGUGUAUAUGAGCUCACAACAGAUAAAGUAAUGAAAGCAAUACAUGAAAAGGUACAUAGAAUUGUUCAAAGCGGCAUGUGGCAACAAUGGAUGCAAGAGAAUGACUCAACGGAAGAACUUGGUGGCGUAACUCUACUUGUAUGCCAAAGAGGUCAUAAAGACUAGAUAUAUACAUGUAUACACACAUAUAUAUUUACAUGUCGAUGCAAACGAUAAUGUUUAAUGACAUUAUUUUUUAUUUGCAAUGUAUCUAAGCGAUUUAGAGGAAGAGCUUAUGACAAAAGGUGCUAUUAUGUAUCUAUUAUUAAAUACUGGUUUAAAGUGAUAGAGAGCUCGGAUAGAAAAUUUAUUAACAAUGUGUAUAACAUGAUGUUAAGAGACAUUGAUAUUAGACCAAGAAAAAAGAAUUGUGCAGCUAGUGUAAGAGACAUGCUGUGUAAUUUUAGGUUCAAUGAAGUAUGGUUAACACAAGGUGUUGGUGAUAUAAAUGUAUUUAUCAGCUUGUUUAAGCAAAGAGUCAACGAUAACUUUAUUCAAAAUCUUAAUAGUCGGAUAAAUGAUUAAUUUAGAGGAACGUUUUAUAAAUCUCUCGGUAAUUUUGAAUACCAAGCAUACUUGAAUAUUGAUAAUGUAGAAAAAUAUAGAAUUGCUAUGUUACGGUUAAGACUUAGUUCUCAUCGUUUACUGAUAGAAACUGGACGAUGGUCAAAUGUACCAAGAGAAGAUAAGAUCUGUAAUUUAUGCCAAGUACUUGAAGAUGAAUACCAUUUUUUGAUGGAAUGUAAUCUUUAUAAUACUAUUAGAGAUAAAUAUAUAAAACGAUAUUAUAAACUUAGGCCUAGUAUGUAUAAGACUGUACAACUUUUGCAGUCCGAAAACGUUAAUACUGUAAGAAACUUAUCAGUAUACAUAUAUCAUGCUUUUGAAUUAAGACAAUUAAGAAUGAGUGUAAACACGACUUAGUGUACGGUUACGUUGUAUUUGAAUAACGGUACUCUUUAUGCUAGACGUUAAGUGUAUAUAUGAAAUACAACAGAUUAAUAAAUUAUUCGGAAUAAGUUGACACACAUUAACCGGAUAGUAUCGAUGACAACCAUACAUAUUUGUACGUACAAGCCUGAUUUUGGUAUUCCAUAGACUAUCUUUCUGUUAAAAACUUAGUCCAAACAAGCAAAUCAUUAGUGAAGUUAUUUGUACAUAAGAGUACAGUAGUAACGAGAAUUGCUAAUCAAAAUUCAUGGUAUCAUUGUAGUGUUGUGCAUAAGUCAUACGGUUGAUAGAUAUACAGUUAAGUUAUAACUCAUAACCGAUAAAGACAAUUAUAUUAACUUAUAUGAAUAUAGUUGUUAAAUCUGUGAAUAUAUCAAUAGAGUCAAUCAAUCUGUUCCGCCAUACAUGUGUAUAUAAGUCAUUGUAUUACACUUCUUGUUUUUGACGAUGAAUACCUGAAACAAAAAAUUGGGUUGAAUAUAGCAUCCUUUCAUAACUAAACUUUCAUUGCUUUGAUUUUUAUGAAGAAUUUGCUAAUUCAUGUUAUCUUUAAAACCGUUUUUAGCGGACACUUGUUGACUGACUCCGAGUGUUUUGGCUGUGACUUAAUUUUCUACAAAUAUUUUACGUUUCAAAUCAUUUGGAACUAGAGAAUAUCAUAUACAAGUCGUUUUUAUUUUUAAUAAUGUAUUUCUUUAUAUGUUCCCAGUUUUAGUACAAUGAUGCUUUUUAUUAUGAAACUCUAUGAUCACACAGUUUUAAACCUUUUUUUAUAAGGCAGACUGUGUGUGAUGUUUGUGGUUUCUAACGAUGACUGCAUCGUAUCUUUGAAAAGUAUUUGCAUUAGGUGCUCUGAAUUGUUUCCCUCCGUCUGCAGAUAGAGUUGGGAUCUCUAAUCAUGGAAGUACUUGGGGUUUACCUUUUCGUUUUUUAUUAUUAUUUGUUUUAUCGAUAAGUUUCCUCAAGUUAAUGCAUACUUUGAUAAGGUCUACCUUUUGCGUUUUAUCUUUAUUAUGAAUUGUUGGGAUAAGAGUUAGGUUUGUGCACAUAAAUUGGUUAAAACCCCCAGUAAAUUUACAUUUUACUGACCGUUCCAAGGCGGUACCUAACAAUUCUUG
Mya arenaria is the source of this 4059-nucleotide long non-coding RNA. RefSeq lists it as uncharacterized. NCBI's taxonomy places the organism in Eukaryota, Metazoa, Mollusca, Bivalvia, Myida, Myidae. The record is from RefSeq and is a predicted model, not a curated record. The transcript is spliced from 6 exons.